UUUUCAAUUAUUGUGUUUUA
Molecule: small nuclear RNA, 20 nt
Filed under: Arabidopsis thaliana (thale cress)
Lineage: Eukaryota; Viridiplantae; Streptophyta; Magnoliopsida; Brassicales; Brassicaceae
Description: snRNA_07156
Source: RNAcentral